RNAcentral lists this long non-coding RNA (353 nucleotides) under Medicago truncatula (barrel medic). Its description in RNAcentral is "long non-coding RNA (MTRU_LNC000935)". The record is from RNAcentral. Lineage: Eukaryota; Viridiplantae; Streptophyta; Magnoliopsida; Fabales; Fabaceae.
UCCCACCCUCUCCUAUUCUUCUUCCUUCUACAACCAUGGUUUUCCAUUGUUGGCCUUUCAUAGAUAAGGGCCUCGUUGAAAACUUUUCAGGGUUUGUAUGAACGGUCAAUGAGGAUGGAACCGCGCUGCGACGAAGUGCAAUUCAUCUGAGGGUCAUGUGGGUCAGUGUGGUUCUCAGCUUGGCCUCCAAUAGGGAAACUACUACUAUGUCCUAUCACAUAGCAGUGUUUAGCCUCUUAGGAGAUUAGAAUUAGGCUCUUAGGAGAUUAGAAAUAGAUUUAAGAUCUUAUAUAAUAAGCUUACAAAGCUUGAAAAUUAUUGUAAUGUAUUGUUCAUAUAUUAAUAAAAUGAGU